Molecule: transfer RNA, 72 nt
Filed under: Cavia porcellus (domestic guinea pig)
Lineage: Eukaryota; Metazoa; Chordata; Mammalia; Rodentia; Caviidae
Rfam family: tRNA
About the family: Transfer RNA (tRNA) molecules are approximately 80 nucleotides in length. Their secondary structure includes four short double-helical elements and three loops (D, anti-codon, and T loops).
Source: Rfam by way of RNAcentral
UUGUAUGUAGCUCAGUGGUAGAGCGUUUGCCUAGCAUGCAUGAGGCUCUGAGUUGGAUCCUUUGCACUGAAA